GACGAACGCUGGCGGCGUGCUUAACACAUGCAAGUCGAACGGAAAGGCGCUGCUUUUGUGUGGUGCUCGAGUGGCGAACGGGUGAGUAACACGUGAGUAACCUGCCCUUGACUGUGGGACAACUGCAGGAAACUGGUGCUAAUACCGGAUAGGAGCUCCUGCUGGAUGGGGGGGGUUGGAAAGUAUCGGCGGUGGGGGAUGGAGUCGCGGCUUAUCAGUUUGUUGGUGGGGUAGUGGCUUACCAAGGCUUUGACGGGUAGCCGGCCUGAGAGGGUGACCGGCCACAUUGGUACUGAGAUACGGCCCAGUCUCGUACGGGAGGCAACGGUGGGGAAUAUUACACAGUGGGCGGAAGCCUGAUGCAGCGACGCCGCGUGCGGGAUGACGGCCAUCGGGUUGUAAAGCGCUUUCGCCUGUGACGAAGCGUGAGUGACGGUAAUGGGUAAAGAAGCACCGGCUAACUACGUG
Molecule: ribosomal RNA, 468 nt
Filed under: uncultured bacterium
Lineage: Bacteria
Description: partial 16S ribosomal RNA
Rfam family: Bacterial small subunit ribosomal RNA
Source: RNAcentral